Molecule: unclassified non-coding RNA, 189 nt
Filed under: uncultured Glomeromycotina
Lineage: Eukaryota; Fungi; Glomeromycota
Description: sequence contains ITS2
Source: RNAcentral
UAAAUAAAAUCCGUUAUGUCGCUUUUGUGAUUUUCGGAAUUGGGUUAUCUUAACCUUUUAAGCUAAGAAACCUGAAAUUGAUGUUUUUGUGCAUCCUAGACGUGUAUAAUUUUUAUUUAUCCGUUUUCGAUGACAAGUUUCUAUUAGGUAUGGUCAUAUUGUUUGGUCUCAUACCUAUAAUUCAUCAUA